RNAcentral lists this ribosomal RNA (324 nucleotides) under uncultured bacterium. Its description in RNAcentral is "bacterial SSU rRNA". It matches the Rfam family "Bacterial small subunit ribosomal RNA", at positions 27 to 334 of the family's 1533-position model. The record is from RNAcentral.
GAAUGAACGCUGGCGGCGUGCCUAACACAUGCAAGUCGAGCGGGAUUUUCCGGAUUGAAGCUUCGGCAGAUUGAAGGAAAUGAGAGCGGCGGACGGGUGAGUAACGCGUAGGCAACCUGCCCUUUGCAGAGGGAUAGCCAUUGGAAACGAUGAUUAAAACCUCAUAAUGCCACGAAGUGACAUCGCUUUGUGGCCAAAGAUUUAUCGGCAAAGGAUGGGCCUGCGUCUGAUUAGCUGGCUGGUGAGGUAACGGCUCACCAAGGCGACGAUCAGUAGCCGACCUGAGAGGGUGAUUGGCCACAUUGGAGCUGAGACACGGUCCAA